RNAcentral lists this ribosomal RNA (253 nucleotides) under uncultured bacterium. RNAcentral's name for it is "partial 16S ribosomal RNA". It matches the Rfam family "Bacterial small subunit ribosomal RNA", at positions 524 to 776 of the family's 1533-position model. The record is from RNAcentral.
UACGUAGGGGGCAAGCGUUGUCCGGAAUCAUUGGGCGUAAAGCGCGUGUAGGCGGUCCGGUAAGUCCGCUGUGAAAGUCGGGGGCUCAACCCUCGGAUGCCGGUGGAUACUGUCGGGCUUGAGUACGGAAGAGGCGAGUGGAAUUCCUGGUGUAGCGGUGAAAUGCGCAGAUAUCAGGAGGAACACCAAUUGCGAAGGCAGCUCGCUGGGACGUAACUGACGCUGAGACGCGAAAGCGUGGGGAGCAAACAGG